Molecule: long non-coding RNA, 557 nt
Filed under: Erythranthe guttata (spotted monkey flower)
Lineage: Eukaryota; Viridiplantae; Streptophyta; Magnoliopsida; Lamiales; Phrymaceae
Description: long non-coding RNA (EGUT_LNC000803)
Source: RNAcentral
AACGAUAAUCAGCCUCCCAAACAAUACCAAACAUAACGGAUGAAGCAGAUCCGCUUAUGUUAAGCGCGAGGUUACGGUUGAGCGUCGGCGUUUGCGAUUCUCACAUGAAAAUGCAGCCCCAGGAGAUAAAGUAGAGAGGUAACGAGCAAAGUGUGAAUAAAACGGUAUAAAUUCUGUGCAAAAGGGAAAAUUAAAAUUAAAAUAAAAUAAAAUAGGAAAAGAGGAGAAUUGAGAACAACAGAUUGAUGAACAGUACCACGGAUUUUAAAAAAAAUCUAAUCUUUCAAAAUUCCAUAGAGAAAUGGGGAAGAAAGGAAAUAACAAAAACAAACCCCCAAAAUAAAAAUUAAAAAAAAAAACAGAGUACACACACAAACACGAAGAAGUGAGAGUAAAAAUUACCAGUUCCGAUGGAGAUAUAAAUACAAAGGAGAGGAUUGUUGAGUGAGAGAGCAGAGCUGCAUAAAAGCUAUGGUGUGAAAAUUGAGAAAAAUGAAUUUAAAAGCAAAAUAAUUGGGAGUGUGAUCAGCAAUCAGAAGAAGAAUGAAUCAGACGCG